Mobula hypostoma (lesser devil ray) is the source of this 2577-nucleotide RNA transcript. It is a transcript of the gene named immunoglobulin kappa light chain-like, with no coding region annotated. The record is from RefSeq and is a predicted model, not a curated record. The transcript has 6 exons. NCBI's taxonomy places the organism in Eukaryota, Metazoa, Chordata, Chondrichthyes, Myliobatiformes, Myliobatidae.
CUUCCCAUCCUCCUGAUAAAAUGUUUAACCUUGGACAUUCAGCUGCUAACUACAACCAUCCUUCAGCCACGAUUCAGUGAUGGCCACAAUAUCAUACACAACAAUCUGUAAAAGUGCAACAAGAUCGUCCGCCUUAUUUCUUAAACUCCAUGCAUUGAGAUAUAACUCUUGUGAGUACUAUAUUUGCCACUCUUUUUGAUUCUGCAUCCCUAUUGCACUGAUACCCACUUUUCUGGCUGCAAUUUUGACCUAUCACCUGCCUGCAUUUCCUGACAGUCUGACUGCACACUGUCUUUGCUUUUUUACCAUCCAUCCUAUCCUGAGUCCCUUCACUCCGGUUCCCAAAUUAACAGUCCAUGCCUGCAUGCAGCUAGGUAGCAAGUUGCAUUUAUGCCAAGAGUGCGAGUUACUGAUUUUCUCCAGCAAGAGAGACUAAUUUAUUUAUCUUUGACAUUCGUACUGCUUAAUUACCCACAUCCCACCUACGAGAAACUUCAGUGGACCAAUUACAUAAAUAUCCUGGUUACAAGAGAAAAUAAGAGGCGGAUUUUCUGUAACAAGUAACCUGACACCCCAAAGCUUUUUCACCAUCUGGAAGGUGCAUCAGGAAUGACAAACGCUGGUAAACCGCAGGGAAGCGAAUAUGGCCUUUAUUGAAGCAGGGGCAGAGAACAUCCUGGAAACUAUGCUCUUCUGCUCUAGAAGUCUGAAAUCUGUGCUGUACACAGGUUUAAUCAGGAUUUACAGCAACCAGGUGCUCUUACUGUUCCAAAAGGAAACUCUAUCCUUUUAAAUUGCUCCUAUUCCAUGUGGAAGCUAUCAAAAUACCAAGUUUCGUGGACUUUCUCCAAUGACGGGUCACGCACUUCAAAGAUAAUUGCAAACUUAACAUCCAUUAAUCCUUGGGUGUCACAUUCUCGAUAUUGUGUAAGGCACAAUUCUACACUGAAGACCUUCACCUUAACAAUUACUGACGUUCAAGUCAGUGACAAUGGAAUCUACUUCUGUAAGGUGUUUCGGAAGGCACCACCACCAAACUUUAGAGCACAAGGAAAUGGCACCCUGCUGAGUGUAACUGCUCAUCCUUCUCUUUGCAUCUUCAAAUCUUCUAAUGAGGUUGCUUCUUCGUCUUCAGUUAUCACAUGUUUAGUACACGGAUUUUAUCCAAAUAAUAUUACAUGGCGGAUAUUGCCAACAUGUCUCAGCGAACAGGUCAUCAUUACAAGUUAUUUAACCAAUCCCAAUGGAACUUAUAACUACACAAUAACUGUGAACAUCUCCACUGAAAAUUGCAUCAAUUCCACUGAAUUCACUUGUGUAGUUCAACACCCAGCAUCACAGACCAAGAUCAAUGCUACUAUCCUCAUUGUGGUGCAUGUAGGUACUCAAGGUUAUAAGUGGAUUUCCAUUUUACUUUCCAUAAGUGGAGGAACAGCUUGUGUUAUCCUUCUUCUGCUCUUCCUUAGAAAAUAUGCAUGCGAAAGAAAGAAAAUUCAAGAGCAAAAGAGAAUUCAAACCAGUAAUCGAACAUUGAACCUUGGACAGAAUGACAUGGUAAGUGUAAAAUUACUUUUUAAUAAGAUUAAGCCUCUGUAGUUAGUAAUCCAAGGCCAAUGUUCAUCUGCCUGUCAAAAUUCUGUAGUGUUCGCACACAGUCAGAUCAGGAGAAGCAGGCUCAAAUGAGUUUAAAUUUGGAUAUCGGCAAUGAAUGUGGGUGGAUCUUCAGGAUUCCUGGCGUACUGCUAAGUUUUACCUCCAAUUACACAGAAACUCAGCUACCAAACAAACACAGCAUACAGCUCAUUAGAAAUGGUGAUGUUACCUUGUAUGACAUAGUGAGCCCACAGAUUUAUGUGUUUGGACAGCUGGAUUUUUGGUCAAUAGAAAUCUGCAGGAGUCUCAUCAAUGAAUGAGAGCUGUAAGGAAGAAGUCUGCUAUGCUAAACUACAAUGGGGAACCAUGCAGAGAGCAAGGAUGGAGGAGGAGGUUGUCUACAGCCCAGUUCUUCACUGAAAGACUAACGGAGAAGGCACCUGUAAAUAAUGAAGCAGGUUAUUAAAAAUAAAUUGGAACAUUCUUCAAUAAACCCUGGAUCAAACUUGUGCAUCCAAAUCCUUUAAUGAUAUCAUUUACAAUUUGUUUAUGAUUUUUUUCAUCUUCUGAGAGUUAGUUAAAUCAUGUCAGUAUAUUGUUCCAUCUUUAUGUUGUGUUUGGGUGAAAACGUUCUGUACAUGCUGCCUUAGUGGAUUAGUCGUGUGCUAAAAGCUACUGUUCUGUCUGGCUGUCUCAGUACGGGGGAACAAGAGAUGGCAGAUGCUGAAAUUUUCAGCAACAAACGAUCUGCUGGAGGAACCAAAUGGGGUGAGCAGCAUCUGGAUGAGGGGGAGGGAAGAAAUUAUUGAUGUUUUGGGUCAAAAUUGCGGUGGUACCAUUAGUUUCUGUAUUAUGCUUCUUUAUUCUGUGCAAGCAUACAAUCAGAUGAGGUAAAAUAAAAACUUUGGAUAUAUUUUAGCCAUUGUUUCAAACUAUUUAUUUCAAAAAUAUUUAAAAGUGUCUAAAUUCUACAGCUAGAAUUUA